ACUCUACUAGGAUGAUGCAC
Molecule: transfer RNA, 20 nt
Filed under: Fargesia macclureana
Lineage: Eukaryota; Viridiplantae; Streptophyta; Magnoliopsida; Poales; Poaceae
Description: partial tRNA-Phe
Source: RNAcentral